This 492-nucleotide ribosomal RNA is filed under the name uncultured bacterium. RNAcentral's name for it is "partial 16S ribosomal RNA". It matches the Rfam family "Bacterial small subunit ribosomal RNA", at positions 29 to 507 of the family's 1533-position model. The record is from RNAcentral.
AGUGAACGCUGGCGGUAGGCCUAACACAUGCAAGUCGAACGGCAGCACAGUAAGAGCUUGCUCUUACGGGUGGCGAGUGGCGGACGGGUGAGGAAUACAUCGGAAUCUACUUUUUCGUGGGGGAUAACGUAGGGAAACUUACGCUAAUGCCGCAUACGACCUACGGGUGAAAGCAGGGGAUCUUCGGACCUUACGCGAUUGAAUGAGCCGAUGUCGGAUUAGCUAGUUGGCGGGGUAAAGGCCCACCAAGGCGACGAUCCGUAGCUGGUCUGAGAGGAUGAUCAGCCACACUGGAACUGAGACACGGUCCAGACUCCUACGGGAGGCAGCAGUGGGGAAUAUUGGACAAUGGGCGCAAGCCUGAUCCAGCCAUACCGCGUGGGUGAAGAAGGCCUUCGGGUUGUAAAGCCCUUUUGUUGGGAAAGAAAAGUAGCAGGUUAAUACCCCGCUGUUCUGACGGUACCCAAAGAAUAAGCACCGGCUAACUUCGUG